RNAcentral lists this unclassified non-coding RNA (498 nucleotides) under Skoua fertilis. RNAcentral's name for it is "sequence contains 18S rRNA gene, ITS1, 5.8S rRNA gene, ITS2". The stretch from base 136 to 289 matches the Rfam family "5.8S ribosomal RNA". Lineage: Eukaryota; Fungi; Ascomycota; Leotiomycetes; Myxotrichaceae. The record is from RNAcentral.
ACAUUACCGAGUUCGCGCCCCCUCGCGGGUCGACCUCCCACCCUGUGUUAUCGUUACCCGUGCUGCCCGGGCUCGCCCCGCGGCGCACCACACUCUUGAUAUUAGUGUCGUCUGAGUCUAAAACAUAAUAGUUAAAACUUUCAACAACGGAUCUCUUGGUUCUGGCAUCGAUGAAGAACGCAGCGAAAUGCGAUAAGUAAUGCGAAUUGCAGAAUUCAGUGAGUCAUCGAAUCUUUGAACGCACAUUGCGCCCCGUGGCAUUCCGCGGGGCAUGCCUGUUCGAGCGUCAUUUCAACCCUCAAGCUCUGCUUGGUGUUGGGCCCCGCCCCGUCUCUUCGCGGGCCGGCCCUAAAACCAGUGGCGGUGCCGCCGGCUCCUAAGCGUAGUAACUUUUACACCUCGCUCCAGGCUCCCGGCGGUCGCUUGCCAGCAACCCCAACUCUCCAGGUUGACCUCGGAUCAGGUAGGGAUACCCGCUGAACUUAAGCAUAUCAAUAA